This is a non-coding RNA of Vicugna pacos (alpaca), 1288 nucleotides long. The record is from RefSeq and is a predicted model, not a curated record. Lineage: Eukaryota; Metazoa; Chordata; Mammalia; Artiodactyla; Camelidae.
UUCACUGUUUGGUUGUUGGGACUGAUGCUGCUAUGAACAUUCUUGUACAAGUUGUCACGUGUACCUGUGCAUUAGUUACCAGCAUGAUACACCUGUAUUACUCUGCAUUCUACCUGCCACAUUCAUGGUCAUUCUACCUAUUGGCUUAAGCUCUACUAUUUAAUUUUUUAAUAAGGUUGUGACUAUUUACUUGUUGAAACGUUUUGUAUCAUAAAUUACUGUCUCUUUUCAUUCUUUUGCAUUCAUUUUAGGGUUUUUUGUCAAUUAUUUUAAAAUUCUGUUGUAGGUAAGUUAUAUCCAGGGAUUUUAUUUCAGGAUAGACAAAAGGGCAUUCCAAUGUAUUUUAUAUUAAAAGGAAAGGGUGUUGGAUUUGAGAAAAUUGGGGACCACUGGCUCUCUUCUUCCCCUCAGUCAGACUUAGGGACUCCUCCUAUGCACCCCAUACUUUGUAUUUAUUGUCACUAAAGCAAUUAUGCAAUUGUAUGAUCAUUGUUAACAGGUCUGUUCUCCUUUAAAGACUAUGAGUGCUUUGUGGGCAAGAAUACUGUCUUUUAUUUAUCUGUUUCCAGGGUCUAGACAGGUUGUAGCACUCAGUCAAUAUCUGCUGCAUGAUGAAUAAUGAUGAAUAUAUGAGAGGACCGUACACAGCAGCAAAGCAGGGAUAGACGCUAGGUGGGAAGAAGGGAUAAGCAUUGGGUGCUGACAUCUGAUUCCAGACUCUGUCCCUCACUUCUGAUCUGAUUGCAGGUUGGCUUGCCUGGAUCAGGGCUCUGAUUCCAUCUGGCAGAAUUCCCUUCACCAUCACCUGCCCCAGCUCCAGGUGGCCGGGACUCCGGAUGCCCCGAGCUCUCAGUCGCAGUGGAACACGGCAUUCACUUCCAGCUCUUUGUCUAGUGCCCGCUGGGUACAUGUCAUCUGCCUGAUUUUACCAUUAGAUGGCACUACCUUCCUAAAAAUUUCCCGGUCUGUCCCAUACUAGUUAGUGAAAUUAAACUGUGAAAUUAUAUCAAUUCAAGAACUAAUUUCACUGCAAAGCCAAUUGACGCCUAAUAAAUCUGACUUUAUGGAUGCUUUGACACUACAGUAUACAAUAUGUUGUGGAUCUGGUCACAAUAUACUGUUACAAGCAACAGUGACUUCCAGACUCCCUUUGGCGGCAACCUUGCACAAUGAACAACCUGCAGAACUAUUUUUGGAGGCCCUCGGGCUAGCUAUUGUCAUCAAGAGACAUCACUGGAGGCAUCACAGAGUAGUCAGCCUCCCCAGUUUACCAGUGGAUGCCUGGCAA